This 601-nucleotide long non-coding RNA is filed under the name Prunus persica (peach). RNAcentral's name for it is "long non-coding RNA (PPER_LNC000473)". Lineage: Eukaryota; Viridiplantae; Streptophyta; Magnoliopsida; Rosales; Rosaceae. The record is from RNAcentral.
GGCUGACCACCAGGGGGCAGAAGAGAAAGAUCAAGCACCCGACUUUCGCCUUCCAAGCCGUCACUAGCUACCAAGUUAUGGAAGACAAACCUUUCAUCAUCUUUCAAUGGAAGGAAGUUCCAAGGCAAUGGAAUGCCCAUCACUUCCAGGGGGACUAUCCAUGAAACACUUCACCUAUCAGUUGGGCUCUAAGCAGGCACCCAAGCCUCCCUCACCUCCAUUGAAGACAAGUUACUUUUGAUGUUACUCAUGCAAGCUCAUCUUUCUGUUCAAUAAAGCAAUGUAGUCACACAGACAUCAAUACAAGUUCAAGCUUUUCUUUCCAAUGGAGUGUUCACAAAAGCAAUCGACACGUCUCCUGACGUAGGCCAAGCGGGCCACACUUAUCGACGUCUCCGGACGUAGGCCAAACGGGCCACACUUAUCGACACGUCUUCGGGCGUAGGCCAAACGGGUCACUUUGAUCGACACAUCUCCGGACGUAGGCCAAACGGGCCACACUCAUCGACACGUCUCCGGACGUAGGCCAAACGGGUCACAUUCAUCGACACGUCUCCGAGUGUAGGCCAAACGGGGCACACUUAUCGACAUGUCUCUGGGC